RNAcentral lists this ribosomal RNA (375 nucleotides) under uncultured organism. Its description in RNAcentral is "partial 16S ribosomal RNA". It matches the Rfam family "Bacterial small subunit ribosomal RNA", at positions 527 to 896 of the family's 1533-position model. The record is from RNAcentral.
GUAGGUGGCAAGCGUUGUCCGGGAAUUAUUGGGGCGUAAAGCGCGCGCAGGCGGUUCUUUAAGUCUGAUGUGAAAGCCCACGGGCUCAACCGUGGAGGGUCAUUGGAAACUGGAGAACUUGAGUACAGAAGAGGAAAGCGGAAUUCCACGUGUAGCGGUGAAAUGCGUAGAGAUGUGGAGGAACACCAGUGGCGAAUGCGGCUUUCUGGUCUGUAACUGACGCUGAGGCGCGAAAGCGUGGGGAGCAAACAGGAUUAGAUACCCUGGUAGUCCACGCCGUAAACGAUGAGUGCUAAGUGUUAGGGGGUUUCCGCCCCUUAGUGCUGCAGCUAACGCAUUAAGCACUCCGCCUGGGGAGUACGGCCGCAAAGGCUG